CCUACGGGGGGCAGCAGUCGAGAAUCAUUCACAAUGGGGGAAACCCUGAUGGUGCGACGCCGCGUGGGGGAAUGAAGGUCUUCGGAUUGUAAACCCCUGUCAUGUGGGAGCAAAUUAAAAAGAUAGUACCACAAGAGGAAGAGACGGCUAACUCUGUGCCAGCAGCCGCGGUAAUACAGAGGUCUCAAGCGUUGUUCGGAAUCACUGGGCGUAAAGCGUGCGUAGGCUGUUUCGUAAGUCGUGUGUGAAAGGCGCGGGCUCAACCCGCGGACGGCACAUGAUACUGCGAGACUAGAGUAAGGGAGGGGGAACCGGAAUUCUCGGUGUAGCAGUGAAAUGCGUAGAUAUCGAGAGGAACACUCGUGGCGAAGGCGGGUUCCUGGACAUUAACUGACGCUGAGGCACGAAGGCCAGGGAGCGAAAGGGAUUAGAUACCCGAGUAGUC
RNAcentral lists this ribosomal RNA (445 nucleotides) under uncultured bacterium. RNAcentral's name for it is "partial 16S ribosomal RNA". It matches the Rfam family "Bacterial small subunit ribosomal RNA", at positions 338 to 795 of the family's 1533-position model. The record is from RNAcentral.